GUCCUUGCAGUGCAACGGAUAGCGCGUUGGACUUCUAAUCCAAAGGUCGUGGGUUCGAAUCCCACCUGGGAUG
This 73-nucleotide transfer RNA is filed under the name Trichonephila inaurata madagascariensis. It matches the Rfam family "tRNA". Rfam says of the family: Transfer RNA (tRNA) molecules are approximately 80 nucleotides in length. Their secondary structure includes four short double-helical elements and three loops (D, anti-codon, and T loops). Further hydrogen bonds mediate the characteristic L-shaped molecular structure. tRNAs have two regions of fundamental functional importance: the anti-codon, which is responsible for specific mRNA codon recognition, and the 3' end, to which the tRNAs corresponding amino acid is attached (by aminoacyl-tRNA synthetases). tRNAs cope with the degeneracy of the genetic code in two manners: having more than one tRNA (with a specific anti-codon) for a particular amino acid; and 'wobble' base-pairing, i.e. permitting non-standard base-pairing at the 3rd anti-codon position. Lineage: Eukaryota; Metazoa; Arthropoda; Arachnida; Araneae; Nephilidae. The record is from Rfam by way of RNAcentral.